GAGUGAACGCUGGCGGUAGGCCUAACACAUGCAAGUCGAACGGCAGCACAGUAAGAGCUUGCUCUUACGGGUGGCGAGUGGCGGACGGGUGAGGAAUACAUCGGAAUCUACUUUUUCGUGGGGGAUAACGUAGGGAAACUUACGCUAAUACCGCAUACGACCUACGGGUGAAAGCAGGGGAUCUUCGGACCUUGCGCGAUUGAAUGAGCCGAUGUCGGAUUAGCUAGUUGGCGGGGUAAAGGCCCACCAAGGCGACGAUCCGUAGCUGGUCUGCGAGGAUGAUCAGCCACACUGGAACUGAGACACGGUCCAGACUCCUACGGGAGGCAGCAGUGGGGAAUAUUGGACAAUGGGCGCAAGCCUGAUCCAGCCAUACCGCGUGGGUGAAGAAGGCCUUCGGGUUGUAAAGCCCUUUUGUUGGGAAAGAAAAGCAGCAGGUUAAUACCCCGCUGUUCUGACGGUACCCAAAGAAUAAGCACCGGCUAACUUCGUG
RNAcentral lists this ribosomal RNA (493 nucleotides) under uncultured bacterium. Its description in RNAcentral is "partial 16S ribosomal RNA". It matches the Rfam family "Bacterial small subunit ribosomal RNA", at positions 27 to 507 of the family's 1533-position model. The record is from RNAcentral.